GUAUUAAAGGUCCUGCCUGCCCAGUGAAAAUUUCAACGGCCGCGGUAUCCUAACCGUGCAAAGGUAGCGUAAUCACUUGUCUUCUAAAUAAAGACCAGUAUGAAUGGCUAAAUGAGGACAAAUCUGUCUCCUACAACCAAUCAGUGAAACUGAUCUCCCGGUCAAAAAGCCGGGAUACCCACACAAGACGAGAAGACCCUGUGGAGCUUAAAAUUAUCUACUAACCAAACCACUAAGGACUCUAGUAUGAAUUUUAAGUUGGGGCGACUUCGGAACAAAGUAAAACUUCCGAGCACAGAAUCACCACUUCUAACUUAGGCAAACAGGCCAAAUCAAAAACAGACCCAGUACCACUGAUCAACGAACCAAGUUACCCCAGGGAUAACAGCGCCAUCUUCUUCAAGAGUCCAUAUCGACAAGAAGGUUUACGACCUCCGAUGUUGGAUCAGGGCACCCCAAUGGUGCAGCCGCUAUUAAAGGUUCGUUUGUUCAACGAUUAACAGCCCUACGUGAUCUGAGU
Molecule: ribosomal RNA, 520 nt
Filed under: Notoscincus ornatus wotjulum
Lineage: Eukaryota; Metazoa; Chordata; Lepidosauria; Squamata; Scincidae
Description: partial 16S ribosomal RNA
Rfam family: Bacterial large subunit ribosomal RNA
Source: RNAcentral